UGCAAACUCCAAAGUUUUCCAGCAAUGUCGGACUUGUUGGACCGUGCGAACACAGCGUCCCUCUUUCAUUCUUUCAACCAGCUUCUUGGGAAGAUCGGCGUAGCAAUGUGAGCGCAUAACCA
Molecule: long non-coding RNA, 122 nt
Organism: Etheostoma spectabile (orangethroat darter)
Lineage: Eukaryota; Metazoa; Chordata; Actinopteri; Perciformes; Percidae
Exons: 3
Source: RefSeq, a predicted model, not a curated record